UCAGGCCUAACACAUGCAAGUCGAACGAGACCUUCGGGUCUAGUGGCGCACGGGUGCGUAACGCGUGGGAAUCUACCCUUGGGUUCGGAAUAACAGUUAGAAAUGACUGCUAAUACCGGAUGAUGACGAAAGUCCAAAGAUUUAUCGCCCAUGGAUGAGCCCGCGUAAGAUUAGCUUGUUGGUGGGGUAAUGGCCUACCAAGGCGACGAUCUGUAGCUGGUCUGAGAGGAUGAUCAGCCACACUGGGACGGAGACACGGCCCAGACUCCUACGGGAGGCAGCAGUGGGGAAUUUUGGACAAUGGGCGCAAGCCUGAUCCAGCCAUUCCGCGUGCAGGAUGAAGGCCUUCGGGUUGUAAACUAAUGUUGUACGGAACGAAAAGGCUCUGGUUAAUACCCGGGGCUC
This 405-nucleotide ribosomal RNA is filed under the name uncultured bacterium. Its description in RNAcentral is "bacterial SSU rRNA". It matches the Rfam family "Bacterial small subunit ribosomal RNA", at positions 42 to 475 of the family's 1533-position model. The record is from RNAcentral.